RNAcentral lists this ribosomal RNA (479 nucleotides) under uncultured bacterium. RNAcentral's name for it is "bacterial SSU rRNA". It matches the Rfam family "Bacterial small subunit ribosomal RNA", at positions 332 to 802 of the family's 1533-position model. The record is from RNAcentral.
CGGCUUCCUACGGGAGGCAGCAGUGGGGAAUAUUGCGCAAUGGGGGAAACCCUGACGCAGCGACGCCGCGUGGAUGAUGAAGGCCUUCGGGUUGUAAAGUCCUGUUCUGGGGGACGAAACCUUAAGGGUCCAAUAGGCCCUUAAGGUGAUGGUACCCCAAGAGAAAGCUCCGGCUAAUUAUGUGCCAGCAGCCGCGGUAAUACAUAAGGAGCAAGCGUUGUCCGGAAUUACUGGGCGUAAAGAGUGCGUAGGUGGCUAUACAAGUCAAGGGUGAAAUCUCUACUUUCAAGGUAGAAACUGCCUUUGAUACUGUAUGGCUAGAGGACAAGAGGGGGAAAUGGAACUCUGGGAGUAGCGGUGAAAUGCGUAGAUAUCCAGAGGAACGCCGGUAGCGAAGGCGAUUUCCUGGCUUGCAUCUGACGCUGAGGCACUAAAGCUAGGGUAGCGAUCGGGAUUAGAUACCCGAGUAGUCCAAGCCG